UGGAAGAAUAUGAAGUUGAUUUUACCGAGGUUAAGGUGGCGGCACAAGCUGAUUCUCUGGAAGUUGCUGGUGAAGAAGAAGCCAUGGAAGAAUAUGAUGUUGAUUGUACUGAGGCUAAGGUGGCUGCACAAGCUGAUUCUCUGGAAGUUACUGGAGAAGAGGAAGCCACAGAAGAAUAUGAUGUUGAUUGUACUGAGGCUAAGGUGGCUGCACAAGCUGAUUCUCUAGAAGUUACUGGAGAAGAGGAAGCCAAGGAAGAAUAUGAUGUUGAUUGUACUGAGGGUAAGGUGGCUGCACAAGCUGAUUCUCUGGAAGUUAUCGGAGAAGAAGCCACGGAAGAAUAUGAUGUUGAUUGUACCGAGGC
This 364-nucleotide long non-coding RNA is filed under the name Capsicum annuum. RNAcentral describes it as "long non-coding RNA (CANN_LNC009247)". Lineage: Eukaryota; Viridiplantae; Streptophyta; Magnoliopsida; Solanales; Solanaceae. The record is from RNAcentral.